GCGUCCUGGUCGGAUGCGG
RNAcentral lists this small nuclear RNA (19 nucleotides) under Arabidopsis thaliana (thale cress). Its description in RNAcentral is "snRNA_11187". Lineage: Eukaryota; Viridiplantae; Streptophyta; Magnoliopsida; Brassicales; Brassicaceae. The record is from RNAcentral.